Molecule: ribosomal RNA, 272 nt
Filed under: uncultured bacterium
Lineage: Bacteria
Description: partial 16S ribosomal RNA
Rfam family: Bacterial small subunit ribosomal RNA
Source: RNAcentral
UACAGAGGGUGCGAGUGUUAAUCGGAUUUACUGGGCGUAAAGGGCGCGUAGGCGGUGAUGUGAGUGUGAUGUGAAAAUCCCCGGGCUUAACCUGGGAACUGCGUUUGUGACUGCGAGACUUGAGUGCGGCAGAGGGGGGUGGAAUUCCACGUGUAGCAGUGAAAUGCGUAGAGAUGUGGAGGAACACCGAUGGCGAAGGCAGCCCCCUGGGUCGACACCGACGCUCAUGCACGAAAGCGUGGGGAGCAAACAGGAUUAGAUACCCCAGUAGU